Long non-coding RNA from Olea europaea var. sylvestris, 2409 nucleotides. RefSeq lists it as uncharacterized. NCBI's taxonomy places the organism in Eukaryota, Viridiplantae, Streptophyta, Magnoliopsida, Lamiales, Oleaceae. The record is from RefSeq and is a predicted model, not a curated record. The transcript is spliced from 2 exons.
UUAAGCUUUAACCCUACCCUACCCCUAUAAUUCUUCAGGCCCAUUUGUUAACCCUCUCCUCUCAACAUGAAUGGAACCUCCCGCCCUUUCAUUCCACUACGUUGGAGAUGUUGACUCCGACAACGUUGACGUCGGCAACGUUGAUGCCAAUUUUAACCCUUCGACGAGUCUGAUAAAUUUAUCCCCAUCUUUUCCAGUUGAAGCGAGGCAAUCGCUUUAUGGAGACAUCGAUGAAAUGGAAGCCGACGACUUUGACCAUGGCAACUUUGAUGCUCGCGACAACAUGGAUAAGAUUUUUCCAGCUUACUCUUCUUCAAGUUGAAGCGUUCAUUUUUCUAGCUUAACAUUCUCUCUGAUUUUAUUUUUAAUUUUUUUAUAAACAUUAUCAUGUCCACUAAAAAUUGGUGAUAGAUCUAUUCACAUUUACAUCAAGGGAUGAACUUUGUUAUAGUUUAAAUGUGUUUAUGAUAACACGUCAUUAAGUGCAAAACAAGAGUGUACAUAUUUUGAGCUUGAAGGAUAUUCACAUCUGAACAGAAUCCUGAAGCUUAUGAUAACAUGCAAUUAAGCUUUUAAUUUUGAGCCUGGAGGAUUUUCACAUCUAGUUUUUAAAUGUUACUUGUCACCAUGUUGACUACGUGGAUUUUUGUAGCAAAAUUGCUAUUUUAUUCUAGGCUGCAUAUGUACCUAUUGGCUCAAUGGUUUAGCUUCUUAUCUUUUUAAUUUUAUCCCUAGGCUUGGAAUUAGGAUCAAGGAUUUGCAUUUACCACCUAUUACAUGAAACAAUAUAGUGAUAUUAUUUUAGAUUGAUUUACAUAAUGGUUUUGUGCAAACAGUUUGAAUUGAUUGUUGUCAUUUUUUGUGAAUGUAGGAUAUUUUGAAAUUCUUUCCUUCGAAGAUGACAAUCCGAAUAAUAAGAGCUCAUGGGAAGAAAUGGACAUUAUUGUGCCUAGUGUUGGAAUGAAAUUUAAGAAUAUGAAAGAGGUGUUUGAGUUUUACAAAAACUACGCUUAUCAAAUCAGUUUUUCCAUAAGGAAAAGAAAUUCCAAGAAGGGUGAUGAUGGGAUUAUGCGUUAUGUAACAUUUAUAUGCAGUGGCGAAGGUCGUCGAACUAGUGGGACAAAUGCAGUUUUGAAGCCUCAACCAACCAUCCAAAUUGGAUGUAAAGCAAGAUUAACAACAUGUUCUGACCUUAAUAGAAUUUUUUGUAUUAAGAUUGUUCAUCUAGAGCAUAUUGCAGAAUAAGCCCAUCAAAAUCACGGCUAUAUUGAUUUAAUCGCCAAAUCAGUGCACGAGUUAAAAGACAGCUUGAAAUAAAUGACAUCGUUAGAAUACCAUUGCAUAAGAGUUUUAACUCAGCUGUUGUUGAAGCCGGUGGUUAUGAAAAGAUUGAAUGCGUGGAGAAGGAUUGUAGAAAUUUCAUUGACAAAGUACGUCGAUUAGGACUUGGGCAAAGAGACCCUGUUGCAAUACAAGCAUAUUUUUGAGGAUGCAAGCAAAUAGUCAUGGCUUCUAUUUCAAUAUAGACUUCUAUGAGGAUGCCCGCCUGAGGAACGUUUUCUGGGCAAAUAACAGGUGCAGGCAAGCAUGUAAGGAAUUACGUGAUGUAGUAAUGGUUGACACCACGUACUUGACUAACAAGUGCGAAAUGCCUUUUGCUUCCUUUGUUGGGAUAAACCACCAUGAACAAUCAACUUGACUUGGAUGUGGUUGGUCUCAAAUGAGGAUACAAGUACUUUUGUAUGGUUAUUUAGAACCUGGCUUGAGUGUAUGCAUGAUCGAGCUCCAACUAAAAUUCUUACAGAUUAGGAUCGAGCUAUGCAGAAUUCAACUGACAUCGUGUUUCCAAACACAAAACAUAGGUGGCGCUUGUGGCAUAUCUUGAAAAAGUUACCAGAAAAAUUCGGUGGCCAUAGACAAAAAGCUUCUAUUCUUUCUACUGUGCAUCGCUUAUUGUAUGACGUGCAAAGUUGUGAAGAAUUUGAUUAAGGUUGGACCAGUACUCCUGACCAAGUUAGAUAUUAGCAUAUGUGCAUCGUAUUUACCAAGUUAGCUAAUAUGGUAGCAGAUGACAAAUUACGGUCGAAGGAAAUUAUUGAGUGGAUUGAUUAUUAAACUGUAGAGUCAUCCAAGUUGAAUUCCAGGACGGAGGUGUCUGUAAGCUUCGAUGGAGCAGCCCAGCAUGCUAGUGGAAUCAUCCUCGACCCGAAAAUCUUAAAAAACAAAGCAGCUCCAAAAAAACUUCGUCAAAAGAGACAUUUUGAAAUUAGUUCUAAGAAGUCAAAAAAUUGUCAGAAGGGGCUAACAAAGUAUUGGCAGGAUCUGUAUGUUAAAGCUAUUGUGAUGAAAUUAGACCCAUUUGUUGUAACCUUUAUUUUAGUACUCUAGUCAAGUUAGAAUUUGAAGUAA